RNAcentral lists this transfer RNA (84 nucleotides) under Gemmatimonadota bacterium. Its description in RNAcentral is "Gemmatimonadetes bacterium (marine sediment metagenome) tRNA-Leu". It matches the Rfam family "tRNA". Rfam says of the family: Transfer RNA (tRNA) molecules are approximately 80 nucleotides in length. Their secondary structure includes four short double-helical elements and three loops (D, anti-codon, and T loops). RNAcentral also lists the same sequence under 1 other name. The record is from RNAcentral. Lineage: Bacteria; Pseudomonadati; Gemmatimonadota.
GCGAAAGUGGCGGAAUCGGUAGACGCGCCAGCCUUAGGAGCUGGUGGCCAUCCGGCCGUGGGGGUUCGAGUCCCCCCUUUCGCA